GGGCGAGUGGCGGAAUUGGCAGACGCGCUAGACUUAGGAUCUAGUGUAGCAAUACGUGGAGGUUCAAGUCCUCUCUCGCCCACCA
RNAcentral lists this transfer RNA (85 nucleotides) under bacterium. Its description in RNAcentral is "tRNA-Leu". It matches the Rfam family "tRNA". From Rfam's summary of the family: Transfer RNA (tRNA) molecules are approximately 80 nucleotides in length. The record is from RNAcentral. RNAcentral also lists the same sequence under 4 other names.